This 569-nucleotide long non-coding RNA is filed under the name Vigna radiata. RNAcentral describes it as "long non-coding RNA (VRAD_LNC006119)". Lineage: Eukaryota; Viridiplantae; Streptophyta; Magnoliopsida; Fabales; Fabaceae. The record is from RNAcentral.
GGGAGGAGUCAUUUGCGCAUACUGCUUGAUAAUUAUCUGCACAAAGAACGUGCAUCUUGUGAAGACUGCUGCAUUUGAUUGAAGGCUUGGCAACUUGUGAAAUCUGCCGUGAUAGGCUUGGCAUCCUGUGAAGAGUGUUGGUUACACGUUGAGGACUGUUUGACGUGGGUGUAGAUUGUAGAAAAGGAGAUUCUUGCUGCAAUUCUGGUUUUUGUGUGUGUAUCUAUAUUUGGUUUUGGGUUACAGAGGAGAUUUAUAUUUUUGCUUGGUGCUUGUAUAAAUUCCUUGUUGUAAAAACGCAACCAUUAUAGUGCAUUUGCUUCCUGGGUUGGAAGGACACUGGAUGUAGGUAUUGUUGGCCGAACCAGUAUAAAAACCAGUGUUUGUUUUUCUCUAUCCCUGCACUCUUUAUUUCCAGUCGACUUUAUCUGUUUAGCGGUCAACUGCAUUUUUCCGCUGCAUUGAAUUUUCAUUACUUGCAUUUCAAGAAAGAUUAAAAAGCUUUGCAUUUUCAUAUUAAGAUUGCUAAAAGAUUUUGUUUUUGAACUAACACCAAUUCACCCCCCUCC